RNAcentral lists this ribosomal RNA (393 nucleotides) under uncultured bacterium. Its description in RNAcentral is "partial 16S ribosomal RNA". It matches the Rfam family "Bacterial small subunit ribosomal RNA", at positions 523 to 918 of the family's 1533-position model. The record is from RNAcentral.
AUACGGAGGAUCCGAGCGUUAUCCGGAUUUAUUGGGUUUAGAGGGAGCGUAGGUGGAUUGUUAAGUCAGUUGUGAAAGUUUGCGGCUCAACCGUAAAAUUGCAGUUGAAACUGGCAGUCUUGAGUACAGUAGAGGUGGGCGGAAUUCGUGGUGUAGCGGUGAAAUGCUUAGAUAUCACGAAGAACUCCGAUUGCGAAGGCAGCUCACUGGACUGCAACUGACACUGAGGCUCGAAAGUGUGGGUAUCAAACAGGAUUAGAUACCCUGGUAGUCCACACAGUAAACGAUGAAUACUCGCUGUUUGCGAUAUACAGCAAGCGGCCAAGCGAAAGCAUUAAGUAUUCCACCUGGGGAGUACGCCGGCAACGGUGAAACUCAAAGGAAUUGACGGGG